AUUGAACGCUGGCGGCAGGCCUAACACAUGCAAGUCGAACGAGUGGCGGACGGGUGAGUAAUGUCUGGGAAACUGCCCGAUGGAGGGGGAUAACUACUGGAAACGGUAGCUAAUACCGCAUACCAUCGGAUGUGCCCAGAAGGGGUUAGCGUGGAAGUGAGGUAACGGCUCACCUAGGCGACGAUCCCUAGAUGGUCUGUGAGGAUGACCAGACACACUGGAACUGAGACACGGUCCAGACUCCUACGGCAGUCAUCAGUGGGGAAUAUUGCACAAUGGGCGCAAGCCUGAGUCAGCCAUGCCGCGUGUAUGAAGAAGGCCUUCGGGUUGUAAAGUACUUUCAGCGGGGAGGCGUUACCCGCAGAAGAAGCACCGGCUAACUCCGUGCCAGCCGCCGCGGUAAUUC
This 406-nucleotide ribosomal RNA is filed under the name uncultured bacterium. RNAcentral's name for it is "partial 16S ribosomal RNA". It matches the Rfam family "Bacterial small subunit ribosomal RNA", at positions 30 to 526 of the family's 1533-position model. The record is from RNAcentral.